RNAcentral lists this ribosomal RNA (798 nucleotides) under Triticum aestivum (bread wheat). RNAcentral describes it as "partial small subunit ribosomal RNA". Lineage: Eukaryota; Viridiplantae; Streptophyta; Magnoliopsida; Poales; Poaceae. The record is from RNAcentral.
UUCAUCUUCAACCCCUACACCAAUGAAUUCGUUCUGGUCUAUCUCGACGACAUUCUGGGUUUCUCGAAGAACAAGAAAGAUCAUGCCAAGCACUUGCGUUUGGUUCUUGACAAACUCAGAGAACAUCAGUUCUACGCCAAGUUCUCCAAGUGUGAAUUUUGGCUCGACGAGGUUCUGUAUCUUGGUCAUAUCAUCUCUGCCAAGGGCAUUUCCGUGAAUCCUGAGAAGGUGUCUGCAAUUGUGAAUUGGGAACCUCCUCAGAACGUAAAGCAACUCCGCAGUUUCCUCGGUCUCGCAAGCUAUUGCAGAAGAUUCGUUGAAAACUUUUCUAAGAUCGCCAAGCCUCUCUCAAAUCUUCUUCAGAAGCACGUCAAGUACAUUUGGUCUCCGGAGUGUGAUAUUGCUUUCAACACUUUGAAAGAGAAAUUGAUCACUGCUCCAGUUCUGACUCCACCUGAUGAAACCAAGCCGUACGAGGUCUUUUGUGACGCCUCUCUCCAAGGUCUCGGUGCUGUACUGAUGCAAGAGAAGAAAGUUGUUGCUUAUACCUCUCGCCAGUUGAAACCUAAUGAGAAGAACUACCCCACUCAUGAUCUCGAGUUGGCGGCAGUUGUACACGCUUUGUUGACUUGGAGACAUCUUCUAUUGGGAAGGAAAGUGGAUAUUUUCACUGAUCAUAAGAGUCUCAAGUACAUCUUCACUCAGCCUAAUCUCAACCUCAGGCAGACUCGAUGGGUCGAAAUGAUUCAAGAGUACAAUCCGAGUAUCGAGUAUACUCCAGGCAAGGCUAAUGUGAUU